CCACUUCUUGUGUAAUGUUUUCACUUCAAACAAAAACAAGGGGGUUAAACCCUGAGCCACCUUGGACUGGCCUUCUGGGAAAGGUGUGUCUUUUGCAUUAAAUCCUCCCUACUCGAAUUACCCUGCUGCCAUGGCCCCGGAGCUGGAGAGGAAGUGAAAGUAACUUGCAAGCUAAUGUUACAGCUGCCAGAAACAAACACAGAGCAGACGAAGCCAACAAGCUAGCUAACUUGUUUACCAAUAAACUGUCCUUGUAGCAGGGAAAACAGAAGCAAGAAUCAUUCUUGGUUCUUGGAUCUGAAUCAAGUCGACCCCAAAAGAAAAAAAGAAGCAAGCAAAAGACUGCCCAUGACCAAUCCAUAAACCGGAUAAACAUUGGAAUUAAUUUUGAAAGGUGGAAGAGUGAAUCCAAAAUGGUCAUCGUUCUCAUGGACUUGUAGACCAGGCUCCCAGAACGUGAAGGCAGACGCAUUGGAUAGACAGACAGCGAACGCCAGCACUUUCGCACAGCCAUUGAAGAGGAGUGGGACAACAUUUCACAGGCCACAAUCAACAGCCUGAUCAACUCUACAGUAUGCGAAGGAGAUGUGUCACACUGCAUGAGGCAAAUGAUGGUCACACCAGAUAAUGACUGGUUUUCUGAUCCACGGCCAUACCUUUUUUUUAAGGUAUCUGUGACCAACAGUCAUGUGAAAUGCAUAGAUUAGGGCCUGAUUAAUUUAUUUCAAUUUACAAAUUUCCUUAGUUGAACUGUAACUCAAACAAGUGUCUCCUCCUCCAGGUAGACCCAUUGUAGCAGCGAUCGAAUCUGAUAUCCAACAUUUCUAAGUUUGUGGAUUACCACAUUAAACCGAUGGUUGCGAAUCUCCCAUCUUAUGUCAAAGACACCAGUCACAUUGAUAAAGGGCUUAGGAAGGAUACCAGAGGGCACCCUGCUGGCCACUUUUGAUGUGGAGAGCUUGUUCACUAACAUCCCACACACUGGAGGCUUGCAGGCUCUGCUACACUUCCUUCAGCAGAGAGACUAUACCCUUGCUCCAUCCAAUGAUUGCAUCUUACAACUUACUGAACUGGUAUUAUCCAAUAACUACUUCAUCUUUGAGUCAGACUUUUUCAUUCGAAUUCGGGGUGCCAUGGGCUCCCCCUUUCCCCCCAACUAUGCAAACCUGUAUGUGGGACAAUUUGAGGAAGCACUCCUUUACAAAACAGAGACACACGUCCUACUUUCUAAAAUUCUCCUAUGGAAGAGAUACAAAAACUCAGCAAAAAAAGAAACGUCCUCUCACUGUCAACAGCGUUUAUUUUCAGGAAACUUAAAUAAAUGUAAAUAUUUCUAUGAACAUAACAAGAAUCAACAACUGAGACAUAAACUGAACAAGUUCCACAUACAUGUGACAAAAAGAAAUGGAGUAAUGUGUCCCUGAACAAAGGGGGGGUCAAAAUCAAAAGUAACAGUCAGUAUCUGGUGUGGCCUCCAGCUGCAUAAAGUACUGCAGUGCAUCUCCCCCUCAUGGACUGCACCAGAUUUGCCAGUUCUUGCUGUGAGACGCUACCCCACUCUUCCACCAAGGCACCUGCAAGUUCCUGGACAUUUCUGCGGGGAAUGGCCCUAUGUCACGUCCUGACCAAAUCUCUGUUUUCUAGCCCUCCCGGUUCUGACCUGUUCUGCCUGCCCUGACACUGAGCACGCCUUCCUGACCAUUCAGCCUGCCCUGACCUCGAGCCUGCCUGCCCCCUGUACCUUUUGGACUCUGAUUUGGUUAAUGAACUUCUGCCUGUUCUCGACCUGCCCAAUGCCUGCCCCUUGUAUUCUAAUAAAUAUCAGCGACGCUAACUAUCUGCCUCCUGUGUCUGCAUCUGGGUCUCGCCCUGUGUCGUUAUACAGUUUGGUUUCGGUAGAUAAGUUACUGCCAAUGAACGCUAAUGUUAGCAUUUUCGGAAGAAAUACAUUACUUUACUCAGCAAAGUAUGUCUAAAGUUGUGUAACACUUUUACAACAGUCUGACACUUUUGUAAUAAAAUUGUCAAUAUAUUUUCUUAAAUAUCUUCUGUAUUGUGUGCUUAUUGUUUAACCAUUCAUACAGUAUGUUCUAGGGCAGUGGUUCUCAAACGUUUUCGGUUACUGUACCACCAACUGAAUUUUGCUCUGCCUGGAGUACCCCCUCAUGUGCAUUUUACCAGUAAGCCUAUGAUCUCAUGAGUCUUCUAAAGUACCCCCUGGUUGGGAACCACUGUUCUAGGGGACAUUAAGACCUUAACCCCUGUUGGUAUAAGUCCUUAAAUAGCAAUAUCUACUAAACUAACAUAUGGAAUUAUUUUAAG
Molecule: long non-coding RNA, 2322 nt
Filed under: Salmo salar (Atlantic salmon)
Lineage: Eukaryota; Metazoa; Chordata; Actinopteri; Salmoniformes; Salmonidae
Description: lncRNA (ENSSSAG00000122106.1, ENSSSAG00020069643.1)
Source: RNAcentral